RNAcentral lists this ribosomal RNA (253 nucleotides) under uncultured bacterium. Its description in RNAcentral is "partial 16S ribosomal RNA". It matches the Rfam family "Bacterial small subunit ribosomal RNA", at positions 524 to 776 of the family's 1533-position model. The record is from RNAcentral.
UACGAGUGCCCCAAGCGUUAUCCGGAAUCAUUGGGCGUAAAGGGUGUGUAGGUGGUUGUGUUAGUCUUCUGUUAAAUUCUUCGGCUUAACCGGGGGCAUGCAGAGGAAACGGCACAACUAGAGGAUGCGAGAGGUGAACGGAACUCAUGGAGUAGGGGUGAAAUCCGUUGAUAUCAUGGGGAACACCAAAAGCGAAGGCAGUUCACUGGCGCACUCCUGACACUGAGACACGAAAGCGUAGGUAGCGAAUGGG